This 76-nucleotide transfer RNA is filed under the name Oscillibacter valericigenes Sjm18-20. RNAcentral describes it as "tRNA-Phe (GAA) (tRNA-Phe-GAA-1-1)". It matches the Rfam family "tRNA". Rfam says of the family: Transfer RNA (tRNA) molecules are approximately 80 nucleotides in length. Their secondary structure includes four short double-helical elements and three loops (D, anti-codon, and T loops). The record is from RNAcentral. Lineage: Bacteria; Bacillati; Bacillota; Clostridia; Eubacteriales; Oscillospiraceae.
GCCUUCGUAGCUCAGUCGGUAGAGCAGAGGACUGAAAAUCCUCGUGUCACUGGUUCGAUUCCGGUCGAAGGCACCA